Molecule: non-coding RNA, 73 nt
Organism: Bos taurus (domestic cattle)
Lineage: Eukaryota; Metazoa; Chordata; Mammalia; Artiodactyla; Bovidae
Source: Rfam
UCCCUGGUGGCUCAGAUGGUAAAGAAUCUGCAUGCAAAGCAGGAGAUCCAGGUUCAAUUCCUGAGUUGGAGAA